This 534-nucleotide ribosomal RNA is filed under the name uncultured bacterium. Its description in RNAcentral is "bacterial SSU rRNA". It matches the Rfam family "Bacterial small subunit ribosomal RNA", at positions 976 to 1509 of the family's 1533-position model. The record is from RNAcentral.
UGGCCUUGACAUACUAAGAACUUUCCAGAGAUGGAUUGGUGCCUUCGGGAACUUAGAUACAGGUGCUGCAUGGCUGUCGUCAGCUCGUGUCGUGAGAUGUUGGGUUAACGUCCGCAACGAGCGCAACCCUUUUCCUUAUUUGCCAGCGGGUAAUGCCGGGAACUUUAAGGAUACUGCCAGUGACAAACUGGAGGAAGGCGGGGACGACGUCAAGUCAUCAUGGCCCUUACGGCCAGGGCUACACACGUGCUACAAUGGUCGGUACAAAGGGUUGCUACCUCGCGAGAGGAUGCUAAUCUCAAAAAGCCGAUCGUAGUCCGGAUCGCAGUCUGCAACUCGACUGCGUGAAGUCGGAAUCGCUAGUAAUCGCGGAUCAGAAUGCCGCGGUGAAUACGUUCCCGGGCCUUGUACACACCGCCCGUCACACCAUGGGAGUUUGUUGCACCAGAAGUAGGUAGUCUAACCGCAAGGAGGACGCUUACCACGGUGUGGCCGAUGACUGGGGUGAAGUCGUAACAAGGUAAGCGUAGAUGA